CUCCCAAAAGCUGCUUAUUUGGGAAAGGUCUUCACUUACCUUUAAUCAAUUAAAAGCUUUCUGGGAGAGAAAAGACCACACUCCACAGUGAGCUACAUCGUUGUAGUCCAUUACUUAUUUUGUGGUCGACAGU
This 133-nucleotide small nucleolar RNA is filed under the name Notamacropus eugenii (tammar wallaby). RNAcentral describes it as "Small nucleolar RNA SNORA4 (ENSMEUG00000018081.1)". It matches the Rfam family "Small nucleolar RNA SNORA4". Rfam says of the family: ACA4 is a member of the H/ACA class of snoRNA that guide the sites of modification of uridines to pseudouridines. The record is from RNAcentral. Lineage: Eukaryota; Metazoa; Chordata; Mammalia; Diprotodontia; Macropodidae.